GAUGAAGAACGUAGCGAAAUGCGAUACGUAGUGUGAAUUGCAGAAUUCAGUGAAUCAUCGAAUCUUUGAACGCACAUUGCACCUCUCGGUAUUCCGGGAGGUAUGCCUGUUCGAGCGUCAUUUGUACCCUCAAGCUCUGCUUGGUGUUGGGUGUUUGUUCCGCCUCUGUGUGUGAACUCGCCUCAAAACAAUUGGCAGCCGGCGUACUUGUUUCGGAGCGCAGCACAUUUUGCGAUCCAGAUCAACGUACAGCGGCAUCCAAGAAGCCUUAUUUAACGCUCUUGACCUCGGAUCAGGUAGGGAUACCCGCUGAACUUAAGCAUAUCAAUAAGCGGAUGA
RNAcentral lists this unclassified non-coding RNA (339 nucleotides) under soil metagenome. RNAcentral's name for it is "partial contains 5.8S ribosomal RNA, internal transcribed spacer 2, and large subunit ribosomal RNA". The stretch from base 1 to 120 matches the Rfam family "5.8S ribosomal RNA", at positions 35 to 154 of the family's 154-position model. The record is from RNAcentral.